RNAcentral lists this ribosomal RNA (599 nucleotides) under Pseudarthrobacter oxydans. Its description in RNAcentral is "bacterial SSU rRNA". It matches the Rfam family "Bacterial small subunit ribosomal RNA", at positions 86 to 698 of the family's 1533-position model. Lineage: Bacteria; Bacillati; Actinomycetota; Actinomycetes; Micrococcales; Micrococcaceae. The record is from RNAcentral.
CCUGGAUUAGUGGCGAACGGGUGAGUAAACGUGAGUAACCUGCCCUUAACUCUGGGAUAAGCCUGGGAAACUGGGUCUAAUACCGGAUAUGACUCCUCAUCGCAUGGUGGGGGGUGGAAAGCUUUAUUGUGGUUUUGGAUGGACUCGCGGCCUAUCAGCUUGUUGGUGAGGUAAUGGCUUACCAAGGCGACGACGGGUAGCCGGCCUGAGAGGGUGACCGGCCACACUGGGACUGAGACACGGCCCAAACUCCUACGGGAGGCAGCAGUGGGGAAUAUUGCACAAUGGGCGCAAGCCUGAUGCAGCGACGCCGCGUGAGGGAUGACGGCCUUCGGGUUGUAAACCUCUUUCAGUAGGGAAGAAGCGAAAGUGACGGUACCUGCAGAAGAAGCGCCGGCUAACUACGUGCCAGCAGCCGCGGUAAUACGUAGGGCGCAAGCGUUAUCCGGAAUUAUUGGGCGUAAAGAGCUCGUAGGCGGUUUGUCGCGUCUGCCGUGAAAGUCCGGGGCUCAACUCCGGAUCUGCGGUGGGUACGGGCAGACUAGAGUGAUGUAGGGGAGACUGGAAUUCCUGGUGUAGCGGUGAAAUGCGCAGAUAUC